This 319-nucleotide ribosomal RNA is filed under the name uncultured eukaryote. RNAcentral describes it as "partial 18S ribosomal RNA". It matches the Rfam family "Eukaryotic small subunit ribosomal RNA", at positions 1470 to 1796 of the family's 1831-position model. The record is from RNAcentral.
CCCUUAGAUGUUCUGGGCCGCACGCGCGCUACAAUGGUCUUCGCAAACGGAUGCAUUCUCGAAGGAGGAUGCCAAUCUUGGAAUCUAUGCCUUGGUCGGGACAGUUGCUUGCAAUUUUUCGACUCGAACCAGGAAUUCCUUGUAAUCGUGAUUCAUCACAUCACGAUGAAUACGUCCCUGCCCUUUGUACACACCGCCCGUCGCUCCUACCGAUCGAAGAGUUAGGUGAAUUGUUUUGAUCGAUAAGAUUUGACUAUGGUCAACUCUCGUUGUGAAAUUCUGUGAAUCUGACUGUUUAGAGGAAGGAAAAGUCGUAACA